This 869-nucleotide ribosomal RNA is filed under the name Cantharellus chrysanthus. RNAcentral's name for it is "Cantharellus sp. MZ-2022a partial large subunit ribosomal RNA". It matches the Rfam family "Eukaryotic large subunit ribosomal RNA", at positions 77 to 955 of the family's 3401-position model. Lineage: Eukaryota; Fungi; Basidiomycota; Agaricomycetes; Cantharellales; Hydnaceae. The record is from RNAcentral.
CCCCCAGUAACUGCGAGUGAAGAGGGAAGAGCUCAUCAUUGGAAUCUGGCAGCGUUGCGCUGUCCGAGUUGUAGAUGAGAAGAGUAGGUCAUCUGGACUGCGUGGUGUCCAAGUACAAUAGGCCGUCAGUGGGACAUCAUAGAGGGUGACAAUCCCGUCCUUGACAACCAACGUACGAGUCCAUUACGAUGCCUAUCUCAGAGAGUCGAGCAGUUUGGGAUUUGCUGCUUAAACAUGGGAGGUAGAUUCCUUCUAAAGCUAAAUACAGGCAAGAGACCGAUAGAGAACAAGUACCGCAAGGGAAAGAUGAAAUAGAACUCUGUGAAGGGAGUCAAAAAGACGUGAAAUUGUUGCGAGAGAAGCGAUUCAAGUCAGCGUAGCUAGGCCCAUCAAGCUUCUUGCUUUGGACUAGCUUUGCCAGCGGUCUUGUCCUUUUAGAGACUUGACUUUUGACGUGCCCUGUCCGGUCUAACGGGCAGGCCCUUCGGGGCCAGUGGCAUGGCUGGUGGAAUGGCUUGCAAUCGACCCGUCUUGAAACACGGACCAAGGAGUCUAACAUGUGUGCGAGUAUAAGGGUGGCAAACCCGUAUGCGCAAAGAAAGUGAUAGCCUUUUAUGGCUGAGAAUGGCCUGAUGACCAGACAAGCAAUAUUAUGUUCCUCGUACGGUCAUUGCCCAAGUCCCGUGGUCAGAUCCCAUGGACAUGGAGUUAGAGCAUACAUGCUAGGACCCGAAAGAUGGUGAACUAUGCCUGGACAAAGCGAAGCCAAAGGAAACUCUGGUGGAGGCUUGUAGCGAUUCUGACGUGCAAAUCGAUCGUCUGAUCUGGGUAUAGGGGCGAAAGACUAAUCGAACCAUCUCAUAGCUGGU